AUUCCAGCUCCAAUAGCGUAUAUUAAUGUUGUUGCAGUUAAAAAGCUCGUAGUUGGAUUUCUGGUGGGAGCGGCCGGUCCGCCGUUUCGGUGUGCACUUGCUAGUCCCACCUUGCUGCCGGGGACGUGCUCUUGGGUUUCGGCUGGGACGUGGAUUCGACGAGGUUACUUUGAAAAAAUUAGAGUGUUCAAAGCAAGCUAAAGCUCUGAAUACAUUAGCAUGGAAUAACGCGAGAGGACUCGGUCCUUAUUUUGUUGGUCUUCAAGGAUGGAGUAAUGAUUAAGAGGGACAGUUGGGGGCAUUCGUAUUUCAUUGCUAGAGGUGAAAUUCUUGGAUUUAUGAAAGACGAACUUCUGCGAAAGCAUUUGCCAAGGAUGUUUUCAUUA
Molecule: ribosomal RNA, 386 nt
Filed under: Pseudoscourfieldia sp.
Lineage: Eukaryota; Viridiplantae; Chlorophyta; Pseudoscourfieldiophyceae; Pseudoscourfieldiales; Pseudoscourfieldiaceae
Description: partial small subunit ribosomal RNA
Rfam family: Eukaryotic small subunit ribosomal RNA
Source: RNAcentral